CAGUAGCCGCGGGAACACGUAGGGUGCAAGCGUUAAUCGGAAUUACUGGGCGUAAAGCGUGCGCAGGCGGUUUUGUAAGACAGAGGUGAAAUCCCCGGGCUCAACCUGGGAACUGCCUUUGUGACUGCAAGGCUAGAGUACGGCAGAGGGGGAUGGAAUUCCGCGUGUAGCAGUGAAAUGCGUAGAUAUGCGGAGGAACACCGAUGGCGAAGGCAAUCCCCUGGGCCUGUACUGACGCUCAUGCACGAAAGCGUGGGGAGCAAACAGGAUUAGAUACCCCGGUAGUCCCUGUCUCUUAUAU
This 301-nucleotide ribosomal RNA is filed under the name uncultured bacterium. RNAcentral's name for it is "partial 16S ribosomal RNA". It matches the Rfam family "Bacterial small subunit ribosomal RNA", at positions 509 to 809 of the family's 1533-position model. The record is from RNAcentral.